Molecule: ribosomal RNA, 402 nt
Filed under: Planococcus sp. (in: firmicutes)
Lineage: Bacteria; Bacillati; Bacillota; Bacilli; Caryophanales; Caryophanaceae
Description: bacterial SSU rRNA
Rfam family: Bacterial small subunit ribosomal RNA
Source: RNAcentral
GAAGCAACGCGAAGAACCUUACCAGGUCUUGACAUCCCGCUGACCGCCUUGGAGACAAGGCUUUCCCUUCGGGGACAGCGGUGACAGGUGGUGCAUGGUUGUCGUCAGCUCGUGUCGUGAGAUGUUGGGUUAAGUCCCGCAACGAGCGCAACCCUUGAUCUUAGUUGCCAGCAUUCAGUUGGGCACUCUAAGGUGACUGCCGGUGACAAACCGGAGGAAGGUGGGGAUGACGUCAAAUCAUCAUGCCCCUUAUGACCUGGGCUACACACGUGCUACAAUGGACGGUACAAAGGGCUGCAAACCCGCGAGGGGGAGCCAAUCCCAGAAAACCGUUCUCAGUUCGGAUUGCAGGCUGCAACUCGCCUGCAUGAAGCCGGAAUCGCUAGUAAUCGCGGAUCAGCA